This 429-nucleotide ribosomal RNA is filed under the name Bacteroidota bacterium. RNAcentral describes it as "Bacteroidetes bacterium partial 16S ribosomal RNA". It matches the Rfam family "Bacterial small subunit ribosomal RNA", at positions 355 to 776 of the family's 1533-position model. Lineage: Bacteria; Pseudomonadati; Bacteroidota. The record is from RNAcentral.
UAGGGAAUCUUCCGCAAUGGACGCAAGUCUGACGGAGCAACGCCGCGUGAGUGAAGAAGGAUUUCGGUUCGUAAAACUCUGUUGUUAGAGAAGAACAGCGCAUAGAGUAACUGUUAUGCGUGUGACGGUAUCUAACCAGAAAGCCACGGCUAACUACGUGCCAGCAGUCGCGGUAAUACGUAGGUGGCAAGCGUUGUCCGGAUUCAUUGGGCGUAAAGCGAGCGCAGGCGGUCAAUUAAGUCUGAUGUGAAAGCCCCCGGCUCAACCGGGGAGGGUCAUUGGAAACUGGUUGACUGGAGUGCAGAAGAGGAGAGUGGAAUUCCAUGUGUAGCGGUGAAAUGCGUAGAUAUAUUGAGGAACACCAGUGGCGAAGGCGACUCUCUGGUCUGAAACUGACGCUGAUGCUCGAAAGCGUGGGUAGCAAACAGG